AUUGAACGCUGGCGGCAGGCCUAACACAUGCAAUUCGAACGAGUGGCGGACGGGUGAGUAAUGUCUGGGCACCUGCCUGAUGGAGGGGGAUAACUACUGGAAACGGUAGCUAAUACCGCAUACCAUCAGAUGUGCCCAGGUGGGUUUAGCUUGUUGUUGGGGUAAUGGCUCACCAAGGCGACGAUCCCUAGCUGGUCUGAGAGGAUGACCAGCCACACUGGAACUGUGACACGGACCAGACUCCUAAGGGAGGCAGCAGGGGGGAAUAUUGGACAAGGGGCGCAAGCCUGAUGCAGCCAUGCCGCGUGUAUGAAGAGGGACUUCGGGUUGUAAAGAACUUUCAGCGGGGAGGCGUUACACGCAGAAGAAGCACCGGCUAACUCCGUGCCAGCAGCCGCGGUAAUAC
Molecule: ribosomal RNA, 406 nt
Filed under: uncultured bacterium
Lineage: Bacteria
Description: partial 16S ribosomal RNA
Rfam family: Bacterial small subunit ribosomal RNA
Source: RNAcentral